CCACUUUUAACGUUUUCUUGAAAAAAUCAACAACCUUUUUUUCUUUGCUUCUCCGUCGGUGGUUCUCAGUUCGAGACAAUACUCAUCUCUGUAAUCACCAACAAAAAUUCUUUAAAAGUAUAUCAAAUCCAGGAUAAACACCGUUCAGUCAAUCACCAAACUCAAUCGAUAACUGAGUUCUCGGUAAUUGGCCAGGAUUGUUUAAACGAUGGAUCUUUAAAAAGACAAAAGCAGAGUAGAAGACAAACCUGACAGAGAUUUUAAAAAGUUAAGUCUGACCUGAAAUAUAAUCAUAGUACAUAUGUUCACAUCAACACAGUUUUAUUUAUUCUCUUGUUGAUCUUUUGCUAUGUUUUCGUUUAUAUUAUUUCCUUGUUCUUAUUUUUUUUGUCUUUUCAUCUCAUAUAUUGAUAGGUCAUUGAUAAGGGUUGUAUGCCAGAGAAACUGGGGAAUACAGCUUUGGAACAAUUCACAAAAUAAACUACAGAAACAAAGAUUGGGAACGCAGCCGAUGACCAUCAUCCUCAAACCGAGGUUGAUGCUUUCUUUUCAUCCUCUUCAUUGAAGGGCUAUGUUAGCAGAAACUACACGGUUUGUUCUCAGUUACAUGCACUGGAACUGAGGAAUAGUAUAAUCACCUUUAAAACAAAGUUGAUAGGAUGCAAAUAUAGAUUUAUCAAACAAUCUACUUUGGCUUAUUUACUAAAGGGAGUUCAACAACAGCUUAUUAAAGGUGGAAUUGGUGACGUUGGAGUUGCUGAUGAUCGACAUUUUGUACUUAUGACUUGUCGGUCGGUACUUUCCGGCAGCUGCGGUUAGUGAGAAAUUUUCAAUGAACCUCCAUUGUCCAACUUGAAGUUUCUUAACACGAGCAAAGAAGAGUCUCUUGCAGCAAGAAUGAACUGAAGAGAAUCUCCACCAGAAUAAGAUGAAUGUUGUGUCCAUGAAUGCAGGACUUUAACUUCGACCUUCCAAGAUGUUUUGUAUGGUUUGACAUCAUUGAGCAAAGUCAUCGUCGGGUCUGAGGUAAUCAUAGCCAUACGAGUGUACGUUUUUUUUUUGCGGACAUAGGAGGUAUUAGUUGAUCGUCUUAUUAUUUAUAGUGAUCAUUAAACGUUUAGGUUUAAUGAUAGCGUGCUGAAGAUUUGAUUUGAUAUCCAUAUAGUUAAAUUCGAUAGAAUAUUCUGAUUACCAUAUUCUGUUGGAGUUGUUAUAUAAAUUGAAGAUCUAAAAGAUUAUGAACGUAGAUGGAUAGUCGAUUAAAAACGUAGUAGAAAAAUAAGGGAGGAAAUCUUGUUGAUUAUUCAAGAUAUACUAUAUUAAGUUGUUAUUGAUUAUUGAUAACUUGGUGUGCACGUCAAGACAGUUUAGAUUUGAUGAAAUCUUUCUGGUAAAUAUCUUUAUAAAUUUUCUUGUAGAUAAGAAUUGUUUAUGAAAACAGUAUAUUCAAAUUUAAAAUAAAAUAUCUUUAAAAUGAUAUAUGCACGAAAAUUAGGUGUAAAAUGAUCAUGUAUCUAACAUACAUAUUCUUUAUGUGAUGAACAUGUCGAUGAUAAAUUUAUUAGAAGUCAACUUAGAGCAAAGUUACAUACAUGAUAAAUCUCUUAAAAGUCGAUGACUAAUAAGGUGUAAUAUGAAAUUGUAUCUAACAUACAUGUUCUUUGUUAGAAGUCAACAAUCAGCAAGGUAUAUAUGUAAUUCGUUUGUUAUAAGCGUGACUAAUAAGGUGUAAUA
Molecule: long non-coding RNA, 1734 nt
Organism: Brassica rapa (field mustard)
Lineage: Eukaryota; Viridiplantae; Streptophyta; Magnoliopsida; Brassicales; Brassicaceae
Source: RefSeq, a predicted model, not a curated record